AGAGUUUGAUCCUGGCUCAGAACGAACGCUGGUAGCGUGGAUUAGGCAUGCAAGUCGAACGGGAUCACCCGUGUAGCAAUACUCGGGUGUGAGAGUGGCGGAUUGGGGAGGAACACGUGAGCAACCUGCCCUUGAGUUCGGGAAAACCGUUGGAAACGACGGCUAAUAUCGGAUGUGGCGCCCUGUGACAUCACGGGAGCGCUAAAGGGGGCCGCAAGGCUCCCGCUCAUGGAGGGGCUCGCGCAUCAUCAGCUUGUUGGCGGGGUAACGGCCCACCAAGGCUUACGAUUAGCUGGUCUGAGAGGAUGACCAGCCCCACUGGGACUGAGAUACUGCCCAGACUCCUACGGGAGGCUGCAGUCGAGGAUCAUUUGCAAUGGGGGAAACCCUGACAAUGCGACGCUGCGUGGAGGAUGAAGGCCCUCGGGUUGUAAACUCCUGUCAUAGUGGAACAGGCGAUCGGACCUAAUACGUCCGAAAGUUGAGUGUACAUUAAGAGGAAGCGACGGCUAACUCUGUGCCAGCAGCCGCGGUAAUACAGAGGUCGCGAGCGUUGUUCGGAUUUACUGGGCGUAAAGGGCGCGUAGGCCGCGACGUGUGUCGGAUGUGAAAUCUCCGGGCCCAACCCGGAAAGUGCGUCCGAAACUGCGUCGCUUGAGGACGGAAGAGGGAAUCGGAAUAUAGGGUGUAGCGGUGAAAUGCGUUGAUAUCCUAUAGAACACCGGAGGCGAAGGCGGAUUCCUGGUACGUAUCUGACGCUGAGGCGCGAAAGUCGGGGGAGCAAACAGGAUUAGAUACCCUGGUAGUCCCGACCUUAAACGGUGCAAAAACGGGGUGGGGGGAUUUCAACCCCUCCGGUCCCUUAGCUAACGCGUUAAGUUUGCCGCCUGGGGAGUACGACCGCAAGGUUAAAACUCAAAGAAAUUGACGGGGGCCCGCACAAGCAGAGGAGCAUGUGGCUUAAUUCGAUGCAACGCGAAGAACCUUACCUGGGUUUGACAUACAGCUGCUCGGCCUAUGAAAGUAGGCUUCCUUCGAGGGUGCUGUACAGGUGCUGCAUGGCUGUCGUCAGUUCGUGCCGUGAGGUGUUUGGUUAAGCCCACCAACGAACGCAACCCCUUUGACCAGUUGCCAGCGGGUGAUGCCGGGAACUCUGGUCACACUGCCGUUUCACAACGGAGGAAGGUGGGGAUGACGUCAAGUCAGUAUGGCCCUUACAUCCAGGGCUGCACACGUGCUACAAUGGCCGGUACAGAGGGACGCGAAGCCGCGAGGCGGAGCAAACCCCCCAGAGCCGGCCCCAGUUCAGAUCGGGGUCUGCAACCCGACCCCGUGAAGUCGGAUUUGCUAGUAACGGCGUAUCAGCUACGACGCCGGGAAUGCGAAAAGGGGCCUUGCACUCACCGCCCGUCA
This 1413-nucleotide ribosomal RNA is filed under the name uncultured bacterium. RNAcentral's name for it is "bacterial SSU rRNA". It matches the Rfam family "Bacterial small subunit ribosomal RNA". The record is from RNAcentral.